UAUCCUACGGGGGGCAGCAGUGAGGAAUAUUGGUCAAUGGGCGGAAGCCUGAACCAGCCAAGUCGCGUGAGGGAAGAAGGCCCUGCGGGUCGCAGACCUCUUUGGACGGGGAGCAAGGCCGCCGACGUGUCGGCGGAAGGAGAGUACCCGUAGAACAAGCAUCGGCUAACUCCGUGCCAGCAGCCGCGGUAAUACGGAGGAUGCGAGCGUUAUCCGGAUUUAUUGGGUUUAAAGGGUGCGCAGGCGGGAGAUCAAGUCAGCGGUAAAAUGUCGGGGCUCAACCCCGGCCGGCCGUUGAAACUGGU
This 305-nucleotide ribosomal RNA is filed under the name uncultured bacterium. RNAcentral describes it as "bacterial SSU rRNA". It matches the Rfam family "Bacterial small subunit ribosomal RNA", at positions 335 to 637 of the family's 1533-position model. The record is from RNAcentral.